AGGACGAGACAUUCCUACCAAUUUACUAGAGAACCAGUUUGGAUUUAAGUAUAACUUUUGUAUGACUGAUGCCUUUAGUGAGGGUUGAGUUUACGAAUGUACGGUUUAUUAACCCAACUCCCCACAGGCUACUGUUUGGCCGCAGCCCACGACAAAUAAAUGAAGGAUACUUUAUAAACCACCCGCGACCUUCUCUUGUGAAAACCAGACAUAAGAGAGAGAACAACGUCUAAACCUGGUCUAAACCUCCAAUGCUCCCUGCCCAACCCCCUUCCACGCCUCUCCACCAAUCACCAGGAAGCCCGGCAUCAGAACGUUCCAGGCAUUCCUGUGAUUGGUAGAUAGCAGGUUGAUUGGCAUGUCGAACAUCGACGGUGAAAUGCUGUUAAAUUUUAAACGAAUAUUUCUAAGUAACAACCAACAACUUAAAAAUAUGAUGUUGAAAUGAUCAUUAUUGUGUUGGACUGACAUGCCAGAUCUAGUUAUGAACGUCAGUUGUGCUUGGAACAUUUCAACAGACGUCGUCUUGAUCUUUCUCCUCUGGAAAGGCCAUGUGGCAGGUUUAGGUGUUCAGACGUUCCUGAGUACUGGACAGACCAUAUUUUCCAGAAUACAUUGACAAGGAAAACGCCAAGGAGUGUGGAGAUGCAUCUCAGAUCUACCUGUCUGUCUCUCUCUUCUUCACCUGUCUCACUGCCUCCUUCACCUGUCUCAAGGCCUCCACGCUGGUCUUCCGAUGACAGACAGACAGCUACCUAGCCUAAACCCCGCCCCCUUCUGAAUCAGAAUCUCCCUGGAAUGUUCCAGAAUGCCUGAACUUAGCAUGCCUGCUGCUGUUUGUGUCAUCUUUAUCAAUCAAUAUGACUAUAAGAUUUAAGUAAUGAUAUUGAUCAUUUUGGCUGAUGGACUGAGAGGAAUAAGCUGUUGACUGACUCCAUGUUUGAUGACUUUAUAAUCACAGAGAGCUGUUGACUGACUCCAUGUUUGAUGACUUUACAAUCACAGAGAGCUGUUGACUGACUCCAUGUUUGAUGACUUUAUAAUCACAGAGAGCUGUUGACUGACUCCAUGUUUGAUGACUUUAUAAUCACAGAGAGCUGUUGACUGACUCCAUGUUUGAUGACUUUAUAAUCACAGAGAGCUGUUGACUUCAGAUGUUUGAUGUCUUUCAACCACCAAAGUUGUGCUUCUUUGGACAACCGUUCUAAAACCAUGAAAGGGCUUUUUGGUUUCUUCAUCAUUUAGUGUCUUAUAAGAGAACAUUGGUUGAAGGAACAACGUUACAAUGUGAUGGACUACUAGGUGGAACAGCCAUUCUGUUAGAAGGAACAACGUUACAAUGUGAUGGACUACUAGGUGGAACAGCCAUUCUGUUAGAAGGAACAACGUUACAAUGUGAUGGACUACUAGGUGGAACAGCCUCUCAACUCCAAAGAUUGUAUUUUCUU
Oncorhynchus tshawytscha (Chinook salmon) is the source of this 1448-nucleotide long non-coding RNA. RefSeq lists it as uncharacterized. The transcript is spliced from 3 exons. The record is from RefSeq and is a predicted model, not a curated record. NCBI's taxonomy places the organism in Eukaryota, Metazoa, Chordata, Actinopteri, Salmoniformes, Salmonidae.